GACGAACGCUGGCGGCGUGCUUAACACAUGCAAGUCGAACGGGAAGGCCCUGCUUUUGUGGGGUGCUCGAGUGGCGAACGGGUGAGUAACACGUGAGUAACCUGCCCUUGACUUUGGGAUAACUUCAGGAAACUGGGGCUAAUACCGGAUAGGAGCUCCUGCUGCGUGGUGGGGGUUGGAAAGUUUCGGCGGUUGGGGAUGGACUCGCGGCUUAUCAGCUUGUUGGUGGGGUAGUGGCUUACCAAGGCUUUGACGGGUAGCCGGCCUGAGAGGGUGACCGGCCACAUUGGGACUGAGAUACGGCCCAGACUCCUACGGGAGGCAGCAGUGGGGAAUAUUGCACAAUGGGCGGAAGCCUGAUGCAGCAACGCCGCGUGCGGGAUGACGGCCUUCGGGUUGUAAACCGCUUUCGCCUGUGACGAAGCGUGAGUGACGGUAAUGGGUAAAGAAGCACCGGCUAACUACGUGCCAGCAGCCGCGGUGAUACGUAGGGUGCGAGCGUUGUCCGGAUUUAUUGGGCGUAAAGGGCUCGUAGGUGGUUGAUCGCGUCGGAAGUGUAAUCUUGGGGCUUAACCCUGAGCGUGCUUUCGAUACGGGUUGACUUGAGGAAGGUAGGGGAGAAUGGAAUUCCUGGUGGAGCGGUGGAAUGCGCAGAUAUCAGGAGGAACACCAGUGGCGAAGGCGGUUCUCUGGGCCCUUCCUGACGCUGAGGAGCGAAAGCGUGGGGAGCGAACAGGCUUAGAUACCCUGGUAGUCCACGCUGUAAACGGUGGGUACUAGGUGUGGGGUCCAUUCCACGGGUUCCGUGCCGUAGCUAACGCUUUAAGUACCCCGCCUGGGGAGUACGGCCGCAAGGCUAAAACUCAAAGGAAUUGACGGGGCCCCGCACAAGCGGCGGAGCAUGCGGAUUAAUUCGAUGCAACGCGUAGAACCUUACCUGGGUUUGACAUGGAUCGGGAGUGCUCAGAGAUGGGUGUGCCUCUUUUGGGGUCGGUUCACAGGUGGUGCAUGGCUGUCGUCAGCUCGUGUCGUGAGAUGUUGGGUUAAGUCCCGCAACGAGCGCAACCCUUGUUCACUGUUGCCAGCACGUUAUGGUGGGGACUCAGUGGAGACCGCCGGGGUCAACUCGGAGGAAGGUGGGGAUGACGUCAAGUCAUCAUGCCCCUUAUGUCCAGGGCUUCACGCAUGCUACAAUGGCUGGUACAGAGAGUGGCGAGCCUGUGAGGGUGAGCGAAUCUCGGAAAGCCGGUCUCAGUUCGGAUUGGGGUCUGCAACUCGACCUCAUGAAGUCGGAGUCGCUAGUAAUCGCAGAUCAGCAACGCUGCGGUGAAUACGUUCCCGGG
Molecule: ribosomal RNA, 1343 nt
Filed under: uncultured bacterium
Lineage: Bacteria
Description: 16S ribosomal RNA
Rfam family: Bacterial small subunit ribosomal RNA
Source: RNAcentral